RNAcentral lists this ribosomal RNA (459 nucleotides) under uncultured bacterium. RNAcentral describes it as "partial 16S ribosomal RNA". It matches the Rfam family "Bacterial small subunit ribosomal RNA", at positions 338 to 795 of the family's 1533-position model. The record is from RNAcentral.
CCUACGGGAGGCUGCAGUGAGGAAUAUUGGUCAAUGGCCGGAAGGCUGAACCAGCCAAGCCGCGUGAAGGACGAAGGUGCCAAGCAUUGUAAACUUCGUUUGUCAAGGGAAAAAAUCAGGCACGAGAGCAUGACCGAGGGUACGGGAAGAAAAAGCAUAGGCUAACGCCGUGCCAGCAGCCGCGGUAAUACGGAGGAUGCGAGCGUUAUCCGGAUUUCUUGGGUUUACAGGGUGCGUAGGCGGACUGGUAAGGCAGCGGUAAAAGCCCGGGGCGCAACCCCGGCGAGCCGUUGAAACGGGCUGUCUUGCGUUGUCGAGAGGUAUGUGGAAUGCGCUGUGUAGCGGUGAAAUGCUUAGUUAUUUCGCAGAACUCCGAUUGCGAAGGCAGCAUACCGGCGGCGAUCUGACGCUGAGGCACGAAAGCGUGGGUAUCGAACAGGAUUAGAUACCCGGGUAGUC